RNAcentral lists this long non-coding RNA (213 nucleotides) under Sorghum bicolor (sorghum). RNAcentral's name for it is "long non-coding RNA (SBIC_LNC017380)". Lineage: Eukaryota; Viridiplantae; Streptophyta; Magnoliopsida; Poales; Poaceae. The record is from RNAcentral.
UAUCCUUUUAACUACAUGCAUGCUGCAGCAAUGCUACUCCCCUUUUCUCUCACCCACCAUCACAUGGCGCCUGCUCUCUCCCCCCCAAGUAACAGCAGCCCAUAAUUCUCUCUUAAUUCUCUUGGUUCAAUUCCCUCUUGAAUGACAUCCACUUUGCUCCAUUAGCUUUAUCUCUCUUUCAAUUGCAUGGAUCCAUGCACCAGUUAUCAGCCA